AUUUUCCGGACUUUUAUGUAAAUAACUAUUUAAUUGCUGCAACUGUAGCAAACCGUUGUCCUCCAGGUGGAUGGAAUUUUACAUGCACGAAUUGCAACACGUUAAUUAACGCAGUCGAUCGUGGAUCGGAAUGCAAGUAUUUUGACUCCUCAAGCAAUCGUUUUAGAGUGAAUCGCUAGAAACACCGGAACAGAGUCCUCUUCCUAUACUGGUGAGUUCGUCAUUAAAG
Molecule: long non-coding RNA, 229 nt
Organism: Photinus pyralis (common eastern firefly)
Lineage: Eukaryota; Metazoa; Arthropoda; Insecta; Coleoptera; Lampyridae
Exons: 2
Source: RefSeq, a predicted model, not a curated record